CAGCAGCCGCGGGAAUACGUAGGUGGCAAGCGUUGUCCGGAAUUAUUGGGCGUAAAGGGCUCGCAGGCGGUUUCUUAAGUCUGAUGUGAAAGCCCCCGGCUCAACCGGGGAGGGUCAUUGGAAACUGGGAAACUUGAGUGCAGAAGAGGAGAGUGGAAUUCCACGUGUAGCGGUGAAAUGCGUAGAGAUGUGGAGGAACACCAGUGGCGAAGGCGACUCUCUGGUCUGUAACUGACGCUGGGGAGCGAAAGCGUGGGGAGCGAACAGGAUUAGAUACCCCGGUAGUCCCUGUCUCUUAUAC
RNAcentral lists this ribosomal RNA (301 nucleotides) under uncultured bacterium. RNAcentral's name for it is "partial 16S ribosomal RNA". It matches the Rfam family "Bacterial small subunit ribosomal RNA", at positions 509 to 807 of the family's 1533-position model. The record is from RNAcentral.